GGCAGAGAUAGUUGCUCUUUCCUUCCUUUUUUGGUGAAAACAGUGUCAGCGUGUGACAUGCCCGAUAUGUCCCUGCCACUGGCCGGUCGAAACUUAUUACUGCCCGGCCCGCUGCUUUGCCUGUUCUCUCUCCCUUCCAUUUGCUUCUUCUUCAGUUCUUGUGGAGUUUCUCCUCUCCUGCCUGCCCUACGGCCUCUGCAAGCAAGACGCGCAUGCAGAGGUUCACGGCGCGCGUCGUAGGCCCUAUGCAUGGGUCAAUGCGCGUGCUCGAGCUCCAGUUCUUUGCUGCUUUCUUUCAUGUUGCUGCUCAUCUCAUUUCCUUGCUGGUUUCAUGGUAUGGUAUGGUAUGGUAUGGCAUGCACGAGCACGACAGGAGUGGAGUGGGGGUUUAGUUUCCAUCACAGCGGCCUGAGACGAGGGGUUUCGUCCACACAACUCAACCUUUUCUUUUCGCGCACAUCGAUGCGAUGCUGGAUUUGUUAUACAACACAGAUUAUACUAUGUUUGUGAUGUUUCCGUGCAAGGCGGGAUCGGAUCGACCGGCCAAUCGAUCUACAUGAUCGGUGGUGAGGUCGUCGUCGGGCGCACGGAUGGGUGUGCCGCCAUUGCCGGGGCCGGAAGUCACCGGCACUGGCUAGCCGGAGGCCGCAUUGGCGGCUGGCCGUUCAUCUGCAUGUCAGGUAACUGACAGGAUCUAUUCCGAUGUCCCCAUUGUCUGUCAUUUCGGGCAGCCUGCAAAACGAACCGGCUUACUAAUGCUAUGGAAUAACCUGAUUCUAGUAUAGCCAGAAGAUAUGUAGGCAUCUGCUAUUUUGACAUCACAGGAAUGCUCAUAACUGAUUUAGGCCUA
Long non-coding RNA from Hordeum vulgare subsp. vulgare (domesticated barley), 850 nucleotides. RefSeq lists it as uncharacterized. The record is from RefSeq and is a predicted model, not a curated record. NCBI's taxonomy places the organism in Eukaryota, Viridiplantae, Streptophyta, Magnoliopsida, Poales, Poaceae. The transcript is spliced from 2 exons.